This 519-nucleotide ribosomal RNA is filed under the name uncultured bacterium. RNAcentral describes it as "bacterial SSU rRNA". It matches the Rfam family "Bacterial small subunit ribosomal RNA", at positions 28 to 536 of the family's 1533-position model. The record is from RNAcentral.
GAUGAACGCUAGCGGGAGGCUUAACACAUGCAAGUCGAGGGGCAGCAUAGGGUAGCAAUACUCUGAUGGCGACCGGCAAACGGGUGAGUAACGCGUAUGCAACCUACCCUGUACAGGGGGAUAACCCGGAGAAAUUCGGACUAAUAUCCCGUAAUAAUAUCCGGAGGCAUCUUUGGAUAUUUAAAGUUCCGACGGUACGGGAUGGGCAUGCGUAACAUUAGCUGGUUGGUAAGGUAACGGCUUACCAAGGCUAUGAUGUUUAGGGGUCCUGAGAGGGUGGUCCCCCACACUGGUACUGAGACACGGACCAGGACUCCUACGGGAGGCAGCAGUGAGGAAUAUUGGUCAAUGGGCGCAAGGCCUGAACCAGCCAUCCCGCGUGCAGGAAGACGGCCCUAUGGGUUGUAAACUGGCUUUUCCAGGGUAGAGAAACUUACGCACGUGUUGCGUGACUGAGGUACCCUGGGAACUAAGCAAUCGGCUAAUCCGUGCCAGCAGCCGCGGUAAAACGUUACCGUC